UUUCAAUUUUCUGCCCUAUCAACUUUUCGACGGUAGGGUAGUGGCCUACCGUGGUGGUAACGGGUAACGGAGGAUUAGGGUUCGAUUCCGGAGAGGGAGCCUGAGAAACGGCUACCACAUCCAAGGAAGGCAGCAGGCGCGCAAAUUACCCAAAUCCCAAUUCGGGGAGGUAGUGACAAGAAAUAACGAUGCUCCGGCCUCACGGUCGGGUAAUCGGAAUGAGAACAAUUUAAAUCCCUUAUCGAGGAUCAAUUGGAGGGCAAGUCUGGUGCCAGCAGCCGCGGUAAUUCCAGCUCCAAUAGCGUAUAUUUAAGUUGCUGCGGUUAAAAAGCUCGUAGUCGGAUUUCGGGUGGUGCCUACCGGUCCGCCUUUGGUGAGUACUGGUAGGCGCUACCUUUCUGCCGAGGACGGGGUACUGGGCUUAAUUGUCUGGGCCCCGGAGUCGGCGACGUCACUUUGAGUAAAUUAGGGUGUUCAAAGCAGGCUUAUGCUCUGUAUACACUAGCAUGGGAUGACACGAUAGGACUUCGGUUUAUCUUGUCGGUCUGUAGAUCGGAGUAAUGAUUAAGAGGGACAGUCGGGGGCAUUCGUAUUUCGUAGUCAGAGGUGAAAUUCUUGGAUUUACGGAAGACGAACUUCUGCGAAAGCAUUUGCCAAGGAUGUUUUCAUUGAUCAAGAACGAAAGUCGGGGGCUCGAAGACAAUUAGAUACCGUCGUAGUCUCGACCAUAAACGAUGCC
Molecule: ribosomal RNA, 739 nt
Filed under: Trentepohliaceae sp. Kukwa 19286
Lineage: Eukaryota; Viridiplantae; Chlorophyta; Ulvophyceae; Trentepohliales; Trentepohliaceae
Description: SSU rRNA
Rfam family: Eukaryotic small subunit ribosomal RNA
Source: RNAcentral